Ceratotherium simum simum (southern white rhinoceros) is the source of this 105-nucleotide non-coding RNA. Lineage: Eukaryota; Metazoa; Chordata; Mammalia; Perissodactyla; Rhinocerotidae. The record is from RefSeq and is a predicted model, not a curated record.
CCAAAGUCCGGCAAAACCGUACCUGCGCUGGAAGUCGGGGGCGUAGGGCUUCAGGUACGGGUCGAUCUCCAGAAGUCGCGCCAGGCCGGGCACGUCCGCCAGGGC